This 381-nucleotide ribosomal RNA is filed under the name Triticum aestivum (bread wheat). RNAcentral describes it as "partial small subunit ribosomal RNA". The record is from RNAcentral. Lineage: Eukaryota; Viridiplantae; Streptophyta; Magnoliopsida; Poales; Poaceae.
AUGAGGAGUGCGGUGGUGCGGCUGCUCGUGCGGUGGCCUCAGAAGAUGGGCGUUGACACCUGCAGCUUGUGCACAAUGGUGACUCCACGCAUCUCCUGCGCCCCGCAACCCUCUCCUUCCCGGCACAAGAGGGACAGGAGCAAGGAUGCCGAGGCGGUUCAGUCGCAAGAAAGAGUAGGAAGAUCAGGCAGAGAGUGUUUCACAUACCCCUUCUACACUGACAAGUCUUUGCUUUUCAGGAUUGCCAUGGGAGCUUUGGAUGGCGGUCUUGAUAUUGCGCACAGUGACAAGAGAUUGCUGGCUUCAAGAAGGAUAAGAAGCAGCUGGGCACUAAGAUUCACCGCAAAUACAUCUAUGAAGGUCAUGUUGCUGACUGCAUGA